GACGAACGCUGGCGGGCGUGCCUAACACAUGCAAGUCGAACGGAGAUACGAUUUCGGUUGUAUCUUAGUGGCGAACGGGUGAGUAACGCGUGAGCAACCUGACUCUUAGAGGGGGAUAACACCUGGAAACAAGUGCUAAUACCGCAUGACAGGGUUCCGGGCAUCCGGGACCCUUGAAAGGAGAAAUCCGGUCAGGGAUGGGCCCGCGUCCAAUUAGCUAGUUGGCGGGGUAACGGCCCACCAAGGCAACGAUCAGUAGCCGGCCUGAGAGGGUGGACGGCCACACUGGGACUGAGACACGGCCCAGACUCCUACGGGAGGCAGCAGUGGGGAAUAUUGCGCAAUGGGGGAAACCCUGACGCAGCGACGCCGCGUGAGCGAAGAAGGCCUUAGGGUCGUAAAGCUCUGUUGUAAGGGACGAAUGUUUAUCUGGCGAACAGUCAGAUAAAGUGACGGUACCUUACCAGCAAGCCCCGGCUAACUACGUG
RNAcentral lists this ribosomal RNA (488 nucleotides) under uncultured bacterium. RNAcentral's name for it is "bacterial SSU rRNA". It matches the Rfam family "Bacterial small subunit ribosomal RNA", at positions 28 to 507 of the family's 1533-position model. The record is from RNAcentral.